CCAACUGUCUCUUAUAGUGAAUCAAUUAAACUGAUCUCCUAGUAAAAAAGCUAGAAUUACAACAUAAGACCAGAAGACCCUGUGAAGCUUAAAUAAAACUAUUAAACCAUAUAAUAGCUACUUUCGGUUGGGGCGACCUUGGAAAAAAAAAGAACUUCCAAAUAAAAUGAAUAUACCUCAUUAUCUAAACAGGCCAACAAGCCAAAAACGACCCAGCACAGCUGAUAAUUGAACCAAGUUACUCCAGGGAUAACAGCGCAAUCUUCUUCAAGAGCCCAUAUCAAAAAGAAGGUUUACGACCUCGAUGUUGGAUCAGGACAUCCUAAUGGUGCAGCCGCUAUUAAGGGUUCGUUUGUUCAACGAUUAAUA
Molecule: ribosomal RNA, 369 nt
Filed under: Coronella austriaca
Lineage: Eukaryota; Metazoa; Chordata; Lepidosauria; Squamata; Colubridae
Description: partial large subunit ribosomal RNA
Rfam family: Bacterial large subunit ribosomal RNA
Source: RNAcentral